UGUUAGAAGUGCAUUAGGUCUCUUAGGUUUUAGUUUAAGACCAACAUGAGUGAGUGAGAUAAACUCGACUAGCUAAGGUAAAGCAUCAAGCGUGAAAUUCAAUCAUUAGACCCCGCUGAGGAUCAGACCCCGCUGAGGAUCGGACCCCAAACCUUUUUUCAACACCAAAUGUGAAAUUACUCCCACCUUACCUACGUCGAAGAAUUAUUGGUGGAUAUCUUGGGCAAAUGUGCAAUACCAUGGAGGGAUAUCUUGGGCAAAUGUGCAAUAUCAGAAGUUAAUGUGCAAGAUAACUAUAUAAGAAGUACAAAAUCCGAAUUUUAAGUCAGGAUUUUGGUAUGUUCUUUCAAUUUGAUGUGAAAUGUUGAUAUUUUAGCGAGUUUAAUAAAGUGUUAUUUAGUUUGAUAGUUAGUUUGAUAGUGAAUAUAUACCAGAUAAAGAUACUGAGUGAUGGUUUAAAUUAGUAGCGAGAUGAGUGCAUAAUGUAUUUAGGGUAUUUUGGAGCUAAAUUUGUUUUAAAAUUUGUCAUUUUAUGAAUAACAGGAAAUUUUAGAACACAUCCCGUUCUUUCUUCUGGUCGUCCUAGUUGCUAUUUAGCAGCGAGAAGAUUUCAGGGUUGUAAUUUUAACACAUAAAUUGUGUUCCGAGUAAAGUACCCUGCGAGCGAAGCGUACGA
This is a non-coding RNA of Paramuricea clavata, 676 nucleotides long. NCBI's taxonomy places the organism in Eukaryota, Metazoa, Cnidaria, Anthozoa, Malacalcyonacea, Plexauridae. The record is from the annotation of a GenBank genome assembly.